Molecule: small nucleolar RNA, 126 nt
Organism: Hippopotamus amphibius kiboko
Lineage: Eukaryota; Metazoa; Chordata; Mammalia; Artiodactyla; Hippopotamidae
Product: small nucleolar RNA SNORA77
Exons: 1
Source: RefSeq, a predicted model, not a curated record
GCAGACUCACUCUGCACCCGGCUGCAGCCCCGGGCGGGUGCUUUUUCCGUCUGCCACAGCAACGCGCUGGGGUGCUGUGACCGCUCUGACCUGUCAAGGGCAACGCAGCCACCCUAGCACACAGGU